CGUAGGGUGCAAGCGUUAAUCGGAAUUACUGGGCGUAAAGCGUGCGCAGGUCGGCUUUGCAAGACAGAUGUGAAAUCCCCGGGCUUAACCUGGGAACUGCAUUUGUGACUGCAUGGCUAGAGUGCGGCAGAGGGGGAUGGAAUUCCGCGUGUAGCAGUGAAAUGCGUAGAUAUGCGGAGGAACACCGAUGGCGAAGGCAAUCCCCUGGGCCUGCACUGACGCUCAUGCACGAAAGCGUGGGGAGCAAACAGGAUUAGAUACCCUGGUAGUCCACGCCCUAAACGAUGUCAACUGGUUGUUGGACGGCUUGCUGUUCAGUAACGAAGCUAACGCGUGAAGUUGACCGCCUGGGGAGUACGGCCGCAAGGUUG
RNAcentral lists this ribosomal RNA (371 nucleotides) under uncultured organism. RNAcentral describes it as "bacterial SSU rRNA". It matches the Rfam family "Bacterial small subunit ribosomal RNA", at positions 526 to 896 of the family's 1533-position model. The record is from RNAcentral.